This is a long non-coding RNA of Vicia villosa (hairy vetch), 1731 nucleotides long. RefSeq lists it as uncharacterized. NCBI's taxonomy places the organism in Eukaryota, Viridiplantae, Streptophyta, Magnoliopsida, Fabales, Fabaceae. The transcript has 6 exons. The record is from RefSeq and is a predicted model, not a curated record.
CCACAAUUUUUUAACAUCAAUACAACAUUCAUAUUCAUCUUCAUAUUCUUUGCCUACACACUUGCUGUUCAGGCUUAAGACGGUUCCUUCGAACACGCCGACAACCCUCCAAAUUGACAUGGCAAGAAGAGAGGUACGUUUGAGAGCACCACCCCUUCCCACUUUUCAGCGUGACUUCCAGCUUCCUGAUCGUUAAGAUGGAAUUCUCGGCUGAGGAUGAAGCCAAAAUUGAGAGCUAGAGAAAGGUGUUGAUGGGUUGUUUGAAAGCUUUGCAAGGUUGGAUUCACGUAUUUCAAGUGUUGGUCAGACAGCUGCAAAGAUAGGAGAUCAUCUCCAAGUAGGGAGCUGUGUUCUUCCACCCUUCCAGUGCUUCCACUAUAUUUUGAUAGAAGAAAUGUGAUCUCACGUUUACUUGUAUUCUAAUGUUUUAUUGGUUGGUUAAAUUAUCCUUUUUGUUUGAAAUAUAAUUUCAUUUGCAAUUCUGUUUUUUUGUCAGAGUGCAGAUGCUCAGCGAGAAACUGCCAGUCAAACUAUUGAGCUGAUAAAAGUAAAAAUCAGCCAAUUCAUUUGUGGUUUAUACCCAUCAUUCAUGUUGGAAAAUUUACCUUAUGGUUGAUUAAUUUCUACAGUACUUAAUGGAGUUCAAUAGCAGCCCUGGUGAUUUGAUGGAGCUUUCUCCUCUUUUUUCUGAAUAGUUAAGGGAGCGGAGACAGCUUUAUAGCAGAUCAACCAUAAAUCGAUCGAGAAUAUGAAGAAUAUCAUAUUUGUAAGUUAUCUAAUUCUUCUAUAGGAAAGCUAGUAGAAUUGUCUUGUUGUCCACCAGUAUUCCAAAGGAAACUAGCAUACUUUGACAGAAAAUAAGUGUUGCCAGGAUCUGAUUCCAAUGCUUGUAGAUAUCUCAAUUCUGCUACCAUUUGAUUUGAUGUAAUUUUGUGAUGUUUGUUUCGAACCGGUAAUCUACGAGCUACUUAAGAACCUAUCACUUAUCUUUACAUAUUUUUUUCUUAGGUGUAUUUGAAUAAUUUGUGGGUGUAGGUUUACAGCGUCAGUUGCAGGAACCUGUCCACCGUACGAUCUCGAGGUUCCACCGUAAAUUAAAUUGGUUCAAUAUUUCUUUGUUGGUGUAAAGGUAUUGUUCCAUCUACUUGGAGAUCCUAUAACUCACGACGAUACCUCUACCCGUAUGAACAUUAUUGGAUGUCACACGAUUCUGUUAGAAAUAUGAUGCUCAUAGUGCCGGCGUCGUCCUCCUGUUGGCGGCGAAGUGUACGAUAUUGAACAUUCAAGAGAAGUGUCUUCAUUAAAAUAUUCGUAGAGAAGCUUGCGCUUCAUUUGUUCAAUGGAGAUGUUCAUCAAGCAGCAUACCGUAUCCUGUCAGAUUUUAGAAAUGGUAGGUUUGGUUGGACUGCAUUGGAGAGGCCUCCUAGGUGAUGUCAAAUGUUUGCUUUUAGAAGCAACACCCUGAAGCUAGAAUUGAAAAUUAUGCUGGAGAUUUCCAGGAGCAAACCGAAAAGCCAAGAUUUCAAGCAGCAUACCGUAUCCUGUCAGAUUUUAGAAAUGGUAGGUUUGGUUGGACUGCAUUGGCUUUUCCUUUUUUUUUGAAGUAGUGAAUGAAAAGCCAAGCUUGUUGUAUCAGGUUGAUUCCACGGGUUAUUUUGUUUGUUAUUAUUGUGUCAAAAUACUCUUUGAUGCACGUCUGAUAUGCAAGCAACUAUGUGUAAAUUUUAGGAA